CUGCGCGCUACACAUGCAGUCGAGCGGAAACGAUUGAAGCUUGCUUCAGGCGUCGAGCGGCGGACGGGUGAGUAAUGCAUAGGAAUCUGCCCGGUAGUGGGGGAUAACCUGGGGAAACUCAGGCUAAUACCGCAUACGUCCUACGGGAGAAAGCAGAACAUCUUCCGACCUUGCGCAAUAGGAUUUGCCUCGCUCGGAGCUGCUGGUUGGUGUGGUAAAAGCUCCCCACGGCGACUAUCCGUAGCUGGUCUGAGAUGAUGUUCAGCCUCAUCGCGACUGAGACACGGCCCCAACUCCGACCGUAGGCAGCAACAUGGGAUAUUGGCAGAUGGGGGCAACCCUGAUCCAUCCRUGGCGCGAGUGUGGAGAACGCUUUCGGGUUGUAAAGCACUUUCAAUGGGGAACAAUGCCUUGGGGCUAUACCCUCGGCGAAGGACCUCACCCACAGAAGAAGCACCGGCUAAGUCCGUGCCAGCAGCCGCGGUAAUACUGAGGGUGCGAGCGUUAAUCGGAAUGACUGGGCGUAAAGCGCGCGUAGUSGGCUUGCGUAAGCCGGUUGUGAAAGCCUCGGGCUCAACCUGGGAAUGGCAUCCGGAACUGUCAGGUUAGAGUGCAGGAGAGGAAGGUAGAAUUCCCGGUGUAGCGGUGAAAUGCGUAGAGAUCGGGAGGAAUACCAAUGGCGAAGGCGGCCUUUUGGACUGACACUGACGCUGAGGUGCGAAAGCGUGGGUAGCAAACAGGAUUAGAUACCCUGGUAGUCCACGCCGUAAACGAUGUCGACUAGCCGUUGGGGUCCUCGAGACCUUUGUGGCGCAGUUAACGCGAUAAGUCGACCGCCUGGGGAGUACGGCCGCAAGGUUAAACUCAAAUGAAUUGCGGGGGCCCGCCCACAAGCGUGGAGCAUGUGGUUUAAUUCGAUGCAACGCGAAGAACCUUACCUACCCUUGCAUCCUCGGGAGCCUGAAAGAUGCGGGUGGCCUUCGGGAGCCGAGUGACAGGUGCUGCACUGGCCGUCGUCAGCUCGUGUUGUGAAAUGUUGGGUUAAGUCCCGCAACGAACGCAACCCAUGGCCCUAUUUGCCAGCGAUUCGGUCUGGAACUCUACGGAAGAGUGCCGCGGACAAACCGGAGGAAGGUGGGGCCUACGUCACGUCAUCACUGCCCAUACGGGUARGGGUACACACGAGCUACAAUGGGAACCACAAACGGUUACGAGAUCGCGAACGAGAGCUAAUCCCGAACAACCGAUCUCGAUCAAGAUCGGAGUCUGCAACUC
This 1275-nucleotide ribosomal RNA is filed under the name Halomonas sp. Its description in RNAcentral is "bacterial SSU rRNA". The record is from RNAcentral. Lineage: Bacteria; Pseudomonadati; Pseudomonadota; Gammaproteobacteria; Oceanospirillales; Halomonadaceae.